RNAcentral lists this ribosomal RNA (253 nucleotides) under uncultured bacterium. RNAcentral describes it as "partial 16S ribosomal RNA". It matches the Rfam family "Bacterial small subunit ribosomal RNA", at positions 524 to 776 of the family's 1533-position model. The record is from RNAcentral.
UACGUAGGGCGCAAGCGUUAUCCGGAAUUAUUGGGCGUAAAGAGCUCGUAGGCGGUUUGCCGCGUCUGCUGUGAAAGACCGGGGCUCAACUCCGGUUCUGCAGUGGGUACGGGCAGACUAGAGUGAUGUAGGGGAGACUGGAAUUCCUGGUGUAGCGGUGAAAUGCGCAGAUAUCAGGAGGAACACCGAUGGCGAAGGCAGGUCUCUGGGCAUUAACUGACGCUGAGGAGCGAAAGCAUGGGGAGCGAACAGG